GACGAACGCUGGCGGCGUGCUUAACACAUGCAAGUCGAGCGGAAAGGCCCUGCUUUUGUGGGGUGCUCGAGUGGCGAACGGGUGAGUAACACGUGAGUAACCUGCCCUUGACUUUGGGAUAACUUCAGGAAACUGGGGCUAACACCGGAUAGGAGCUCCUGCUGCAUGGUGGGGGUUGGAAAGUUUCGGCGGUUGGGGAUGGACUCGCGGCUUAUCAGCUUGUUGGUGGGGUAGUGGCUUACCAAGGCUUUGACGGGUAGCCGGCCUGAGAGGGUGACCGGCCACAUUGGGACUGAGAUACGGCCCAGACUCCUACGGGAGGCAGCAGUGGGGAAUAUUGCACAAUGGGCGGAAGCCUGAUGCAGCAACGCCGCGUGCGGGAUGACGGCCUUCGGGUUGUAAACCGCUUUCGCCUGUGACGAAGCGUGAGUGACGGUAAUGGGUAAAGAAGCACCGGCUAACUACGUG
This 468-nucleotide ribosomal RNA is filed under the name uncultured bacterium. Its description in RNAcentral is "partial 16S ribosomal RNA". It matches the Rfam family "Bacterial small subunit ribosomal RNA", at positions 28 to 507 of the family's 1533-position model. The record is from RNAcentral.